Molecule: transfer RNA, 68 nt
Filed under: Colochela zhongi
Lineage: Eukaryota; Metazoa; Arthropoda; Insecta; Hymenoptera; Tenthredinidae
Description: tRNA-Ser
Source: RNAcentral
GAAAUAUGAAGAUUCACAUUAAAGCUUCUAACUUUUAAUUUUCACGAUUUAAUUUCGUUUAUAUUUCU